GUGCCAGCCGCCGCGGUAAUACGGAGGGGGCUAGCGUUGUUCGGAAUUAUUGGGCGUAAAGCGUCCGCAGGUGGCACUUCAAGUCUGCUGUCAAAGGUCGGGGCUUAACUCCGAAUCGGCGGUGGAAACUGAAGAGCUAGAGUAUGGUAGGGGCAGAGGGAAUUCCUGGUGUAGCGGUGAAAUGCGUAGAGAUCAGGAAGAACACCGGUGGCGAAAGCGCUCUGCUAGGCCGAAACUGACACUGAGGGACGAAAGCUAGGGGAGCGAAAGGGAUUAGAUACCCCUGUAGUCCUAGCUGUAAACGAUGGAGACUAGGUGUGGCCUGUAUCGACCCGGGCCGUGCCGGAGCUAACGCGUUAAGUCUCCCGCCUGGGGAGUACGCACGCAAGUGUGAAACUUAAAUGAAUUGACGGGG
RNAcentral lists this ribosomal RNA (415 nucleotides) under uncultured prokaryote. Its description in RNAcentral is "bacterial SSU rRNA". It matches the Rfam family "Bacterial small subunit ribosomal RNA", at positions 505 to 918 of the family's 1533-position model. The record is from RNAcentral.